AUCCUUUGUGGGUGUAUUUAAUGCUUAUGUAGCAUGUGAUUGUAUAUUUUUUGGCAUAUAAGUACUUAUGUUAUUCGGUGUUUUUUCAACAAAAUUUAAAUUUUUUUUUUUUGGAAAAACGGGUUCGACGUGUGAAGCAUUCCUGUAGAACAUUCAUUUUUCUUAUGUACAUCUUGUAGUGAUAUAGUAGGUUUUAUUAUGCAAAAGUGAUGUAAUAAUUAAGGCCAUGUAAAGGGAUGUGUUUUGCGCAGCGUCGACGUUUUUCAAAUUAAAUUUUGGCAUAAGUACUUAUUUUUUAUCUGUGUGAUGAUAUUACGAGAUAAGUUCUCCUUAUAUAAAUAUUUUUUGAAAGAAAAGGAUGUGUUCUUUCAAAAUGGAUGAGUUCCAACUUUUGGAUAAGUUCCAAAAUUAAUAGAAAAUUAAUAAGAUUGUGAUAUUUUGAACCGACACUGGGUGAUAAUUACGAGCAUAGCGAAGUUUUCGAUCCCGUUGUGUCGAGGAUAAUAUUCCAAUCUUGUUAAUUUUUUCGGAAUAUGUGCCUAAUGUCCAAACCUUUUUUUUUUUGUGAAUGUAGUGAAAUGACUUCCAAAAACAUCAUAGCUGAUCUCACCAGGGGUGAUAAGCUAGAUGGAAAGAACUAUGUUUUGUUUUAUAUAGGAAAAUGCAAUACCUGCUUAAUGAACAAGGGGUUUUCGUAACUCUCUCUGUCAAA
This 712-nucleotide long non-coding RNA is filed under the name Ananas comosus (pineapple). Its description in RNAcentral is "long non-coding RNA (ACOM_LNC029405)". The record is from RNAcentral. Lineage: Eukaryota; Viridiplantae; Streptophyta; Magnoliopsida; Poales; Bromeliaceae.